Molecule: ribosomal RNA, 481 nt
Filed under: uncultured bacterium
Lineage: Bacteria
Description: partial 16S ribosomal RNA
Rfam family: Bacterial small subunit ribosomal RNA
Source: RNAcentral
GAUGAACGCUGGCGGCGUGCUUAACACAUGCAAGUCGAACGAAGCACUUUAUUUGAUUUCCUUCGGGGCUGAUUAUUUUGUGACUGAGUGGCGGACGGGUGAGUAACGCGUGGGUAACCUGCCUUGUACAGGGGGAUAACAGUUGGAAACGGCUGCUAAUACCGCAUAAGCGCACGGCAUCGCAUGAUGCAGUGUGAAAAACUCCGGUGGUAUAAGAUGGACCCGCGUUGGAUUAGCUAGUUGGUGAGGUAACGGCCCACCAAGGCGACGAUCCAUAGCCGACCUGAGAGGGUGACCGGCCACAUUGGGACUGAGACACGGCCCAAACUCCUACGGGAGGCAGAAGUGGGGAAUAUUGCACAAUGGGCGAAAGCCUGAUGCAGCGACGCCGCGUGAGCGAAGAAGUAUUUCGGUAUGUAAAGCUCUAUCAGCAGGGAAGAUAAUGACGGUACCUGACUAAGAAGCACCGGCUAAAUACGUG